UACGUAGGUGGCAAGCGUUGUCCGGAUUUAUUGGGUUUAAAGGGUGCGUAGGCGGCCCCGUAAGUCAGUGCUGAAAUAUCCCGGCUUAACCGGGAGGGUGGCAUUGAUACUGCGAGGCUUGAGUAAAGUUGAGGUAGGCGGAAUUGACGGUGUAGCGGUGAAAUGCUUAGAUAUCGUCAAGAACACCGAUAGUGUAGACAGCUUACUAAGCUUUAACUGACGCUGAGGCACGAAAGUGUGGGGAUC
This 246-nucleotide ribosomal RNA is filed under the name uncultured bacterium. RNAcentral describes it as "partial 16S ribosomal RNA". It matches the Rfam family "Bacterial small subunit ribosomal RNA", at positions 524 to 769 of the family's 1533-position model. The record is from RNAcentral.